CGAGAGGAAAAUAUUGAGUUUUUCUUCUCUGAGCAGCAUCAUCUCCUUCGAUUCUUCUUCAAUUAGUUUUAAUUAGUUUGGAAUUUUCUCUAACAUCUUUAUCGAUUUGCAGAGAAAGAUUGAGUUUCAGAAAAUGGUGAAGUGAAGAAUAUACCUGCAACGAGGAAAGUUGAAUUUUUUUUGAUAGUUGCAGUUGAAUUUAUUGAUAAACAAAUGGCUUCAAGUACUAAGGGACCUUCUAUUCCUGUUGACAAUCCUGAUGAGAGCAUGGAUACAACUACCCCGGUAUCCGUCGAGAGCAUAUCUACAACUACACCAUCAUCUCUGGUUGAAGUUUCAAAGCCUCUUAAAGCUUCUGGUAAGAAGCAAUCAGAUUGCUGGCAACAUUUUGAUAAGCGUCUUGAUCUUAAGCCACCUAAAGUUCAGUGCAAGCAUUGAAAAAGGAAGUUUUCAUGGGUUAAAGACGAUAUAGGGGGUUCUAACUCUCAUGGAACAACAGAUAUGAACAACCAUAUAAAGAAAAGAAGGUGUCCUAAUAACCGUUAGACUUUCAAGUAAGUGAUGGUGAGACUCGUUCCUUUGUGACUCACUCGUUUGACCAAGACGCAUGUAGAACAUCCCUCACCAGAAUGGUCAUCAAAGAUGAAUUACCUUUAAUGUUUGUACAACGUGAAGGCUUCUUAGAAUUUUGUCAUCAAUUAGAAACUAGGUUUGAAGUUCUUUCUCGUUUUACUGAAGCUAGAGACUGCAUGAAGAUGUAUUUAAGUGAGUACCACAAAUUGAAAGCUGAAUUUUAAAAGUAUAGUAGAAGGUUAUGUCUCACCACUGAUACGUGGACUUCAGUUACAAACAUGAGCUACAUGGUGUUGACAGGUCAUUAUAUUGAUGAGAAAUGGGUGUUAAAGAAGAAGAUAUUGAAUUUUUGUCCAGUUACGGAUCAUACUGCUCUGGAAUUGGGUAAAACAAUUGCAGAUUGUCUUUUACAGUGGGGUAUUUAAAGGGUAUUCACUUUGACAGUUGAUAAUGUUAUUUCUAACAAUGAAACAGUUUCUUAUUUGUCCAAGAGAGUUGUGGGUUGGAAGGCUGCAAUUUUGGGAGGAGAGCACAUGCAUCUUAGAUGUGCAACACAUAUCCUUGCCUUAGUGGUUGAAGAUGGUAUGGAUUUGUAUAAUGAAUCUAUUUCUAGGAUACGUGAGGCCGUUAAGUUCGUUAGAGGAUCAGCAGAAAGAUUUAAGAAGUUUAGAGAAUGCGCUGAACAACGGAAGAUUAACAUCACCAAAUUUCUUAGCUUGGAUUGCGAGACUAGAUGGAAUUCUACUUACCAUAUGUUGUCUGCAGCUGAAAAAUAUGAGGAGGCCUUCUAACAAUUUGAAGAAUUAGGGUAUGCGGAUAAAUUUCUUAAUCCCCCUCGACCACCAACCAGAAGUAAAACAAACGUACCAGCAAUUCCUAAUGUAUGGCCCGUUGCUUCUGAUUGGGAAACAUCUCGUGCAUUUGUUAGAUUGCAAAAAAAAUUCUAUGAUGCUACAUUGAAAUUUUCUGGAUCAACCUAUGUCACGUUUAAUUUAUUCCUCGAUGAAGUAAUUUGUAUUAAUGACGUAUUGCAAG
Long non-coding RNA from Papaver somniferum (opium poppy), 1608 nucleotides. RefSeq lists it as uncharacterized. The transcript is spliced from 3 exons. The record is from RefSeq and is a predicted model, not a curated record. Lineage: Eukaryota; Viridiplantae; Streptophyta; Magnoliopsida; Ranunculales; Papaveraceae.